CAUGUCUUCACCUUUUCAAACCAUCCUCUUCCUCUCCAUCUGGUUCACAAUAAGAUGCUAAAUUUGAUCCUGACCUUCUUGAGUCAUUAAGAUUCACUCUAAAUGUUGACUUGAAUUCUCUGAUUUCUUCUCUGCAGGUCAGGCUCUAGCAGCAGCACACGCCUGCAGGAUGUCUCCAGCUCUGUUCGGACUCCUCCUCGUCCUGCUCCCAUCAUAUGAAGCCAAGAGCGUGAAAUUUGAUCCCUCUCAUCCCAAAAUAGUCCACAAAACAGAAACAGUGGAGUUUAAAUGCAAACACAAUGACAGUGCUUUGCCUGUGAUGCUCUGGUACCAGCAAACCCAGACAGAUGGCUUGAAUCUAAUCGGAUACGGCUUGCAGGGCAACGACCCGAACUAUGAGGAGCAGUUCCAGACUGGCUUCGAGAUUACGAGAGAAGACGUGAAUAAUGGGGCUCUGAUCAUUCGCAAUGUGAACACAACAGACUCGGCUGUGUAUUUCUGCGCUGCCAGUACACAGUGAUGUGGUCUGAUGAGAAACCCUGACUAAAAACACACUUUGGUUUCAGCAGCCUGAUGAAAGGCUGCGUGAGCUCCCAAUACACUCACACUCAGGAUUUAUGAGUACAAUAGUUAUCACAGAAUAUUUACAUCGAUUGGAUUACAUUAGUAUAAGAA
This is a non-coding RNA of Salarias fasciatus (jewelled blenny), 675 nucleotides long. The record is from the annotation of a RefSeq genome assembly. NCBI's taxonomy places the organism in Eukaryota, Metazoa, Chordata, Actinopteri, Blenniiformes, Blenniidae.